Molecule: unclassified non-coding RNA, 307 nt
Filed under: uncultured soil eukaryote
Lineage: Eukaryota
Description: sequence contains 5.8S rRNA gene, ITS2, 28S rRNA gene
Source: RNAcentral
AACGCAAGUUGCGCCCGAAGCCUUGGCUGAGGGCACGCCUGCCUGGGUGUCACACAUCGCUUUGCCUCCAAAACCUAUCCCCUCGUAACACCGUGGUGAUGGUUUGGAUGCGGAAGAUGGCCUCCCGCGACCGAGAGCCGCGGAUGGCCCAAGUUGUUGCCGGGGAAGCGAAGCGCCACGGCUUUCGGUGGUCGGCACGGCCUUUCGAGGCAACGAAGCCCGUGGCAGCCGCGAGAGACCCCGGUCUAAGACCCUAACGACCAACAAACGCGACCUCAGGUCAGGCGGGGCUACCCGCUGAGUUUAA